Molecule: ribosomal RNA, 268 nt
Filed under: uncultured bacterium
Lineage: Bacteria
Description: partial 16S ribosomal RNA
Source: RNAcentral
CUGCUGCCUCCCGUAGGAGUCUGGGCCGUGUCUCAGUCCCAGUGUGGGGGGCCUUCCUCUCAGAACCCCUACGCAUCGUCGCCACGGUGGGCCGUCACCCCGCCGUCUAGCUAAUGCGCCGCAUGCCCAUCCGCCACCGGAUCGCUCCUUUGGCCACCGGAGGAUGCCCUCCGGUGGCGUCACGGGGUAUUAGGCCGCGUUUCCGCGGGUUAUCCCCCUGUCACGGCCAGGUUGCAUACGUGUUACUCACCCGUGCGCCGGUCGCCGG